GUAGGGCGCAAGCGUUAUCCGGAAUUAUUGGGCGUAAAGAGCUCGUAGGCGGUUUGUCGCGUCUGCCGUGAAAGUCCGGGGCUCAACUCCGGAUCUGCGGUGGGUACGGGCAGACUAGAGUGAUGUAGGGGAGACUGGAAUUCCUGGUGUAGCGGUGAAAUGCGCAGAUAUCAGGAGGAACACCGAUGGCGAAGGCAGGUCUCUGGGCAUUAACUGACGCUGAGGAGCGAAAGCAUGGGGAGCGAACAGGAUUAGAUACCCUGGUAGUCCAUGCCGUAAACGUUGGGCACUAGGUGUGGGGGACAUUCCACGUUUUCCGCGCCGUGGCUAACGCAUUAAGUGCCCCGCCUGGGGAGUACGGCCGCAAGGCUA
Molecule: ribosomal RNA, 372 nt
Filed under: uncultured bacterium
Lineage: Bacteria
Description: bacterial SSU rRNA
Rfam family: Bacterial small subunit ribosomal RNA
Source: RNAcentral